This 474-nucleotide ribosomal RNA is filed under the name uncultured bacterium. Its description in RNAcentral is "bacterial SSU rRNA". It matches the Rfam family "Bacterial small subunit ribosomal RNA", at positions 28 to 507 of the family's 1533-position model. The record is from RNAcentral.
GACGAACGCUGGCGGCGUGCCUAACACAUGCAAGUCGAGCGGGGACAUUGGAGCUUCGGUUCUGAUGUUCUAGCGGCGGACGGGUGAGUAACGCGUGAGCAAUCUGUCCCAUACAGGGGGAUAACAGCUGGAAACAGCUGCUAAUACCGCAUGAGACCACAACAUCACAUGACGAAGGGGUCAAAGGAGCAAUCCGGUAUGGGGUGAGCUCGCGUCCCAUUAGGUAGUUGGUGAGGUAACGGCCCACCAAGCCGACGAUGGGUAGCCGACCUGAGAGGGUGAUCGGCCACACUGGAACUGAGACACGGUCCAGACUCCUACGGGAGGCAGCAGUGGGGAAUAUUGGGCAAUGGGCGAAAGCCUGACCCAGCAACGCCGCGUGAGGGAAGAAGGUUUUCGGAUUGUAAACCUCUGUCCUUGGUGACGAAGGAAGUGACGGUAGCCAAGGAGGAAAGCCCCCGGGCUAACUACGUG